GGGACUAUAGUUAAUAAUAACAUUUGAGUUGCAUUCAAAAGGUACUAAUCAAAUAGUUAGCCUCA
RNAcentral lists this transfer RNA (65 nucleotides) under Orthotermes depressifrons. RNAcentral's name for it is "tRNA-Ala". Lineage: Eukaryota; Metazoa; Arthropoda; Insecta; Blattodea; Termitidae. The record is from RNAcentral.